RNAcentral lists this long non-coding RNA (405 nucleotides) under Homo sapiens (human). RNAcentral's name for it is "HSALNT0316059". Lineage: Eukaryota; Metazoa; Chordata; Mammalia; Primates; Hominidae. The record is from RNAcentral.
CAGGAACCAGUCAUAACCAAUUUCAAAGCCUUUGGCUUGGAAUGUCCUAAACACAUUGCACAAAGCUACUCUGCAUGGUUAUCUUUAAUCACGUCACAUAGGAACCAAUUAUGAUGUAGAAUGUUGCCACUCAAAGUGUGAUCUUUGGAGAAAAGCAUUAUCACCUACUGGAAACCUGUGAGAAAUGCAGAAUCUCCAUCCCCACCCCAGAAAUGCUGAAUCGGAUUCUGCGUUUAAUCAAGGACCUCAGGUGCCCAAAUGUGACCGACGCUGCCAUUCACAGUAAAAGGCCAAACAAGAUGGCCAGGCCCUUUGCCCUCAUUAAGAAUGUAAUCUAGAGCUGUAGUCCUCAAGCAUUUAUCAUCACAUACCCAUCAAUAAAAUUUGUUGAGUGUGCACCUCCAA